RNAcentral lists this ribosomal RNA (108 nucleotides) under Jaculus jaculus (lesser Egyptian jerboa). The record is from RNAcentral. Lineage: Eukaryota; Metazoa; Chordata; Mammalia; Rodentia; Dipodidae.
AUCUAUAGCUAUAAUACCGUGAACAUGUCUGAUCUCAAUGACUUCAGAAGCAAAGCAGGGUUAGAUCUGGUUAGUGCUUGGGUAGGAAAACACAACAGGUUUUAAAAU